Long non-coding RNA from Mauremys reevesii (Reeves's turtle), 323 nucleotides. RefSeq lists it as uncharacterized. The record is from RefSeq and is a predicted model, not a curated record. Lineage: Eukaryota; Metazoa; Chordata; Testudines; Geoemydidae. The transcript has 3 exons.
CUGUUAUCACAAUGUAUACAGCUCUCAUUAUUGCUGGCUCCUGUACUAUUAUCUCAUGCUAUUCUAUUUAUGGUGGCUGUCUCAUCUUUACAGCUUUUACCAUGAUAGGACAUGAUCAGAAAAGACUGGACAUCAAAUACCUUUGAAAUAGCUGUGAAUUAUACAUUAUGCACAGUUGUAGAAACAAAGUGUGCAUACUUAGGCAAUUUGGGAAGGUGUUUACUAUCUAAAAGAGCCUGGACCUUGUUUCUGAGAAAGCCCUGCCUCUUGUUUUCAUGAGCGUCACUCUUGAGGCUGACACUUCGUAGUUCCUGAAAUUUGCC